UUUAAUUCGAAGCAACGCGAAGAACCUUACCAGGUCUUGACAUCCUCUGACAAUCCUAGAGAUAGGACGUCCCCUUCGGGGGCAGAGUGACAGGUGGUGCAUGGUUGUCGUCAGCUCGUGUCGUGAGAUGUUGGGUUAAGUCCCGCAACGAGCGCAACCCUUGAUCUUAGUUGCCAGCAUUCAGUUGGGCACUCUAAGGUGACUGCCGGUGACAAACCGGAGGAAGGUGGGGAUGACGUCAAAUCAUCAUGCCCCUUAUGACCUGGGCUACACACGUGCUACAAUGGACAGAACAAAGGGCAGCGAAACCGCGAGGUUAAGCCAAUCCCACAAAUCUGUUCUCAGUUCGGAUCGCAGUCUGCAACUCGACUGCGUGAAGCUGGAAUCGCUAGUGAUCGCGGAUCGCAUGCCG
This 412-nucleotide ribosomal RNA is filed under the name uncultured bacterium. Its description in RNAcentral is "bacterial SSU rRNA". It matches the Rfam family "Bacterial small subunit ribosomal RNA", at positions 945 to 1359 of the family's 1533-position model. The record is from RNAcentral.